ACCCUACCCUCUACUAGAUCUCCUGGAUCCUUCCAGCUCUUCGAUCUAGUUCAACAUCUUAUUUGGUGCCGCUGCACCCAAAACCAUCCUAUCCUUGACUACUUCAUGUAGGGCCCCUCCACUUUGCACCCGCUACUCCCUCUCCCCCUCCCUUUAUCCUAUGGAAUGUCCAAGAUGGAAAUGGAAACCUCACCCUCCCCUACUCUCUCCUACCUGCUUUCUCUAUUCCGUGGCCAAAUUGAAGACCUCUGAGAAGGAUACAAAAAGGAAGAAGAGCAAGUCUUGGGCAAUG
This 292-nucleotide long non-coding RNA is filed under the name Elaeis guineensis (African oil palm). RNAcentral describes it as "long non-coding RNA (EGUI_LNC032975)". The record is from RNAcentral. Lineage: Eukaryota; Viridiplantae; Streptophyta; Magnoliopsida; Arecales; Arecaceae.